RNA transcript from Salvelinus fontinalis (brook trout), 4657 nucleotides. It is a transcript of the gene named anoctamin-4-like, with no coding region annotated. NCBI's taxonomy places the organism in Eukaryota, Metazoa, Chordata, Actinopteri, Salmoniformes, Salmonidae. The transcript has 29 exons. The record is from RefSeq and is a predicted model, not a curated record.
UGCAUGAAAACCACGCCUGUCCCAAACUCUUCGCCCAAUGCUAAAUCCAUCGACCUUAUUCUCCAAGCUAUUUGGAAGGACGAAGUCAGGGUGGACGAUAACAGAAUGGCAAACCAAAUUAUCCAUAAAAAAACGUUAUACAUCCUGAGUAGUUGUAGGCUACGUUCUGUAUUUAUUUAUAGUCAUUAAAAUAUUAGCUACACGUGUGCUCGAGACAUGUAGGCUGGCUAACAUAUCCCAGGAAUUGAACUUGCUGGUGAUGAUGCUCGUGGAUCAUGACUGUUCUGGGACUGAUGUUCGGUUGGUUCGUCAGCUCAACAAGGGUAUGAGGAUUCAACCAGGGAUAUGCAGCGGAGGGACCGAGCAGCAACGGGGAUGUAAAACUGGAGACGUCAAUGAAAAUAUUGUUUGUCUGCAAUCUCAGGAUGAAACGGGACGGGUGUGUCCUGGAAGCCCAGCACUGGCGACAGACACGCGGCUAUCCUCCUGUUCCACAGCAGACCGUGAACCAAGCAGUGGCAGUUACAACGUCUCCACUGGAACGGGAACCUUUUACAGCUGCGUCAGUCAGAUCACCAUCGGGUUUGAUCUCGGGGGCCAAGUGGCCAUUGGUAUCUCUCAUUGGAACAGUCCAUUCCCUUCCAGAGGUCACCCCCUGUGUGACAGUCCUGAUGGGGUUCGCUCCGAGGCCUCCGCUGCCGCAGCCCCGCAACUCCCUGAGUACCAAGAGCCAGUGUCCUGUCCUGCCUCCCUGUCAAUCAACCCUAUAUCAUCCCACUGCAGCGCCAGCCAGGAGACCAUCAGCGAAAGCAGCACAAGUGUGAGUUUCUCUCUACAUGGGGCUGAGCUCCAAUGGCAGAGCCCCCACAGACGCAGAGUUCUGCGUCCCCCGUCCCCUGGGGUUGAGGCUGCGGAUUUCUCCUUCCCCCACAACAGGUCGCCAGUCAGAAUGGAGGAGUCCUUGGCUGGGGCUCCUGAUUCCCCCAGCACACAGAACAGCGUGCCACCCCCCGUUUUGAAGGAUGUGAAGUUGUUAAUGGAGAGUUUGGAGGGGCUGAGCACUCCGUCCAAAGAUGGCGACUCGACCCUGCUCGACCCCGGGACCAGUAGCAUCCUGGACGACAACACCAGGACUGACCCGGCACCAGAGGUAGGGAGAAGUAGGUCCAGUGGCUUGUGCUUCAGCGAUGGCAAGUGCCACAUCGACUACAUCCUGGUUUACAGGAAGUCUGGUCCACAGUCGGAGAAGAGGGAAAUAUUUGAGCGCAACAUCCGGGCCGAGGGCUUGCAGAUGGAGAAGGAGUUGUCUGUGUGCAACAGUGAUGUGAUCUUCCUGAAGCUGCAUGCUCCCUGGGAGGUGCUGUGUCGCUACGCAGAGCUUAUGAACAUUCGGAUGCCGUUCAGGAGAAAAAUCUACUACAUGCAUCGACGGUACAAGUUCAUGAGUAGGAUGGAGAAGAGAAUCAACAGAUUUCGAGGAUGGCUGCCUCGCAAACCUAUGAAGUUUGACAACAACGACCUCCCUGACCUGGAGGAGAACGAGAGCUUUACCGCCCCCUUCAGUCGCUCCAGAAUACAUCAUUUCACCAUUCACAACAAAGACACGUUCUUCAACAACGCUACCAGGAGUCGCAUCGUCCAUCAUAUCUUGCAAAGGGUCAAAUAUGAGGAGGGCAAAGACAAAAUGGGGCUGAAUCGUCUUUUGAGCAAUAGUUCAUACGAGGCAGCUUUUCCCCUUCAUGAGGGGAGCUACAGAAGUAAGAACUCCAUCCGGACGCAUGGGGCAGAGAACCACAGACACUUGCUGUAUGAAUGCUGGGCCUGGUGGGGGGUGUGGUACAAGUACCAGCCACUGGACCUCAUAAGGCGGUAUUUCGGGGAGAAAAUUGGUCUCUAUUUUGCCUGGCUGGGUUGGUACACUGGGAUGCUGUUCCCUGCGGCGCUGGUUGGGCUCAUGGUCUUCCUCUACGGCUGGUUCACCCUAGACCACUGCCAGGUCAGUAAAGAAAUCUGCCAGGCCACUGACAUCAUCAUGUGCCCCAUAUGUGACGAGUACUGCCCCUACCUGAGACUCUCAGACAGCUGCAUCUAUGCCAAGGUCACCCAUCUUUUUGACAACGGAGCAACAGUUUUCUUUGCUGUAUUCAUGGCUGUGUGGGCAACCGUGUUUCUCGAGUUCUGGAAGAGGCGGCGAGCGGUCCUUGCGUAUGACUGGGACCUAAUUGACUGGGAGGAAGAGGAGGAGGAAAUCCGUCCCCAGUUUGAGGCCAAAUAUUCCAAAAAGGAGAGGAUGAACCCCAUAUCUGGAAAGCCUGAGCCGUACCAGGCCUUUACAGACAAGUACAGCCGACUCAUCGUCUCAGCUUCUGGAAUCUUCUUUAUGAUACUGGUGGUGAUCGCUGCCGUCUUCGGCAUCGUGAUUUACCGCGUGAUCACAGUCAGCACUUUUGCCGCCUUCGGCUGGGCUCUCAUCAGGAAUAACUCUCAGGUGGCCACCACCGGCACAGCCGUGUGCAUCAACUUCUGCACCAUCAUGCUCCUCAAUGUGUUGUAUGAAAAAGUUGCCCUUCUGCUCACCAAUUUAGAGCAGCCAAGGACUGAGUCCGAGUGGGAGAACAGCUUCACCCUGAAGAUGUUCCUGUUUCAGUUUGUCAAUCUCAACAGCUCUACCUUCUACAUAGCUUUUUUCCUGGGCAGGUUCACUGGUCGGCCAGGAGCCUAUAUACGCCUCAUUAACCGCUGGAAACUGGAAGAGUGCCAUCCCAGUGGUUGUUUGAUAGAUCUCUGCAUGCAGAUGGGUAUCAUCAUGGUGCUCAAGCAGACCUGGAACAACUUCAUGGAGCUGGGCUACCCGCUGAUCCAGAACUGGUGGACGCGGCGAAGGCUGAGGCAGGAGCACGGCCCCAACGCCAAGGCCAGCUUCCCGCAGUGGGAGAGGGACUACAACCUGCAGCCCAUGAAUGCCUACGGACUGUUUGACGAAUACCUGGAGAUGAUCUUACAGUUUGGCUUCACCACCAUAUUUGUGGCAGCUUUCCCCCUGGCCCCGCUCCUGGCCCUCCUCAACAACAUCAUUGAGAUCCGCCUGGACGCCUACAAGUUUGUCACUCAGUGGCGGAGACCCCUGCCCUCUCAAGCCAAAGACAUAGGGAUCUGGUACGGCAUUCUGGAGGGCAUCGGUAUCUUGUCCGUCAUCACCAACGCCUUUGUCAUCGCCGUCACCUCCGACUUCAUCCCACGCCUUGUAUACGCAUACAAGUACGGCCCGUGUGCCGGGCAGGGCCGGGCCGGGGAGAGGUGCAUGAUGGGAUAUGUGAACGCCAGUCUAUCGAUGUUCAGAGUGUCUGAUUUUGAGAACACGUCCGUGCCCAGGACAGAUGGAUCGGAUACGUUUGGAGAAGCAGUGAAGUACUGCAGGUACCGUGACUACAGAGAGCCCCCAGACUCGCCCGGUGAGCCAUACUCCUACACGCUGCAGUUCUGGCAUGUCCUGGCCGCACGGCUGGCCUUCAUCAUAGUCUUCGAGCACAUGGUUUUCACCAUCAAGAACCUGAUCGCCUACCUGAUCCCAGACCUGCCCAAGGACUUGCGGGACCGCAUGCGGCGGGAGAAGUACCUGAUCCAGGAGAUGAUGUACGAGGCCGAGCUAGAGAGACUGCAGAAGGAGAAAAAGAAGAAUUACAGGGCCCAUCAUAACGCAUUGCUCUGAAUGCACAAACAGGUGAUAAAUAACUACACUGCACUGAAGGGACCAGCACGGAAUACUGACAGGCAAUCUAUAAGUUUGCAGGCUGCAGAGUGUGGCGCAUAGGAAUUACAUUUAUAUAUAGGAAGAAUAACUCACCUGUAUGACCAAUGUGUAGCACCACUCAUCUGGGUGAAGCACAGCUGUCAUUUUAUGCCUGAACGCUCAACACACAUCAGCUAUCGAAGUAAGAUUUGCCAAUUGAAGCACGGGAAGACAAGGGACCAGGUUGUGCAAGGAAGCGAAAUAAGUCAUGCUGGUGUCCAUUUUUGCUCGGUGGCGUUGUGUGUGGGAAUGACAGAGAACUGGCUGCAUGCACGCCAGGGACUGUCCUGCCUGUCUGCGUCUCUCACUGGACCAGGUGAGCGCCCCCAAGAGGACCGUCCAACAAACCUGCAUUCAGCAUGCUCCUCGCCAUGGUGUUCAAACGUACUGUACGUCAUUUUGAAUCCGAGAGGCCAGUGGGUGAGGGGAAAAAAGAGGACAUACAUUGGAACAUUUGACAAUAUGGGUUUACUACUUUUUUCCAGAUUGCUCCUUCCACUUUGGACUCACAACUGUACAUUUCUUCAAAACCUGAAUGUAGAUUUCAAAGAAACACAAAAAACAAACUUUUGCAGUUCUAUUGUCACAACUUAAAAAAAGUAAUCCGUGCGGUUGAAUGACAAACCCUGUUUACAAUCCUAGUCUUUUUAUUUUGAGGACAAACUCAUGAGGAAUCAUGAUUAAUUGCUUUUACAAGGUUGUAAAAGCAAUUCAUGUUCUCUGCUUACGUUGUGUGCUGCUUACAAUGUUAUUUUGAAACGUUCCUUCAGAUCUGUGUUAGUGAACGCAGACUGCUCAAACAUCCAAUGCCUUCCUUUACAAUGGAUACUAAUAACAAGAGUAAUAAAAAUUCAUAUUUGUUACAAA